RNAcentral lists this ribosomal RNA (356 nucleotides) under uncultured bacterium. RNAcentral describes it as "partial 16S ribosomal RNA". It matches the Rfam family "Bacterial small subunit ribosomal RNA", at positions 338 to 710 of the family's 1533-position model. The record is from RNAcentral.
CCUACGGGUGGCAGCAGUGGGGAAUAUUGCACAAUGGGGGAAACCCUGAAGCAGCAACGCCGCGUGAGUGAGGAAGUAUUUCGGUAUGUAAAGCUCUAUCAGCAGGGAAUAGAAAAGAAGGUCCUUGAUACAGAAGCCCCGGCUAACUACGUGCCAGCAGCCGCGGUAAUACGUAGGGGGCAAGCGUUAUCCGGAUUUACUGGGUGUAACGGGAGCGUAGGCGGAAAGGCAAGUCAGAAGUGAAAGCCCAAGGCUCAACAAUGGAACUGCUUUUGAAACUGUCAAACUAGAGUACGUGUGAGGUAAGAGGAAUGCCUGGUGUAGCGGUGAAAUGCGUAGAUAUUAGGAGGAACACC